This is a long non-coding RNA of Zeugodacus cucurbitae (melon fly), 12821 nucleotides long. RefSeq lists it as uncharacterized. The transcript is spliced from 2 exons. NCBI's taxonomy places the organism in Eukaryota, Metazoa, Arthropoda, Insecta, Diptera, Tephritidae. The record is from RefSeq and is a predicted model, not a curated record.
AACUUAGCACUUCCUUACUUGUUUUUUGUGUAAUUCUUCUGACAUUUUUCUUUAGCGAGAGAUGGACGUAGUUAUUAUCCGAUAUCACAAAUCUUUGAGCCAAAAGAUGAAAUGAUAAAACGUAAAAUGUAUGGAAAAUGUGUUUGAUGCUCUAUUAGUUUGUGACAUACAUACAAAAUAAAGAGCGGGAUCACGUCCACUUCCAAAAAUUGUUAAAGGUCUGAUGUUCCUUCCUAGUGUGAUCCGUCAUAAUAGUUGUCGCUUGCAUGGAUAGACGGACACUCGAAAUUCAGUUGUCUUAGAUUCGUCACAGUUUUUAGAAUUUUGAAUUGAAUAAGCACCUGUAGUAUCAAUCAAAUAGCCAAUAAUAGAAACGGUUUUAGAUUUUUAUGAUUUACAUCCAUCUUCAUUAGCAUAGUUUGGUUUUUUAUUAUUCUUAUAUAAUAUUGGCACUGACUGGUUUGUUGUCGAUUAACAAUGGAAAGUUACUAAUUUCACUGAAUGGCUAAUAAAUUAUUAUUAUUUUUACAAGUAAGAGACUGAAAAGCUUUUUUUAAUUCAAAUCAAGUUCCAAAUGAAUUCGCCAAAUAUAUUUUCACUGCAGAUGCUUUCUAUAUGAAGACCUAAUCAAUGUAACUCUAACAAGUAGGGAAAGCCUAAGUUCGGGUGCAACCGAACAUUUUAUACUCUCGCAAUUUAUUGAUAUAUUUUUAUUAAGAUAACACACAAUUUGACCCAAUUUGAAAAUCCUAUAAUUAGGUAUAUGAGAGCUAGGGGAAGUUAUGACAAGAUUUUAACCAUUUCUAGUACAGAGACACACUAUUAGAAGAAAAAUAUUUCCUCUGAAUUAAAUUAAAAUAUCUGAGAGAUUUACCGAAAUUUUCGGUGAAAAAUUACCAAGGGACACUGAAUCAUAUUCGACAUUCGAGGCCUUCAAAAGUUAUAGUCCGAUUUCGACCAAUUCCGAUUUUCACAAGUGACGCCACAGAUCAUAUACAGUAUUUCUGUAAAGUUUUAUUUCGCUAUCUUCAUUGGUUCCUUAUGUAUAUACUAUAAAGUAAAGGAAUAAGAUGGAGUUCAAAAUUGAGUUACAUGGGGAGCUGUCGUGGUUGUGAACCGAAUUAAUCCAUGUCAUCAGGGUGUCAAGAAAAUAUUAUAUACCGAAUUUUAUUCGAAUCGGUCGAGUAGUUCCUGAGAUAUGGUUUUUGACACAUAAGUGGGCGAUGCCACGCCCAUUUUUCAUUUUUUAAAAAAUCUGUUCAGCUUCCUUCUGCAAUUUCUUCUGUAAAAUUUAGUGUUUCUGACGUUUUUCGUUAGUGAGAUAAUCCACUUUUAGUAAUUUUCAACCCAACCUUUGUAUGGGAGGUGGGCGUGGUUAUUAUCCGAUUUCAACUAUUUUCAUGAUGUGUGAUGGAGUACGUUAGAGAACCGACUGCUGAACGUUUGGUUUAUAUAGCUUCAUUGAUUUGCGAGAUAUAUGCAAAUAACCAAUUUGGGGGCGGGGCUACGCCCACUUCCCCAAAAAAAUUACUUCCAAAUAUGGCCCUUCGUAGUGUGAUCCUUUGUUCCAAAUUUUACUUUUACUUUUUUUAUGGCUUAGUUAUGACAGUUUAUGUGUUUUCGGUUUUCGUCAUUUUGUGGGCAUGGCAGUGCUCCGAUUUUGCCCAUUUUCGAAAGCAACCCUCUCACGGUCCAAUGUGUUCCAAAUUUCAUUAGGAUAUCUCAAUUUUUACUCAAGUUAUCCGUUGUACGGACGGACGGACAGACAGACAUUCGGAUUUUGACUCGUCUCGUCACCAUGAUCAUUUUGAUAUAUAUGUAUAACCGUAUAUCUAACUGGUUUAGUUUUAUGACUUACAAACAACCGUUAUGUGAACGGUUCUAUAAUACUCUCUUAGUAACUUUUGUUGCGAGAGUAUAAAAACCAUUCCAAAAUGGUUGGUGUGAAAUGCGCGCUCCCUUUGAGGUCACGAAAGUAUUGGGUUCACAUCACCAAUCUUCCCUUAAAAAAGAAUUGGGAAUUACACCAUCCUCCCGUGAUUCACUGUUUACAUAAUCCGUUAAAAUAAAAUUAAUACAGAAAAUAUUAAGAACUACAUUUUAAUUUAUUUAGUUUUAUAAACUUUUCCUACAAUAGGUAUCUAUCAUAUUAUUAAUUAAUCGACUUUCAGCAGCAUUUUUAAAUUUUGCGAAACCAAGUCUAGAUCGCAAUUAUGGUCAACGGUGGUGUAAUCCACUUCUACUGUUGCUUGUUGUUGCAUAGGCUGCUUCUGCGUAGCAUUUCGAUCAAAUUGUUGGACCUUGGGCGAUUAACUGUAACGGAGGAUGAUCGAUCUUCAUCAUCCUGUGGAUCACAGUCCCCUGAAACAAAAUUCGUCACGGUUCUCCUAACGCUCGUUCGGAAAUACAAAAUACUAAAUAUCCGUAGUAUCUGAAGGAGGCACUAUUUCAAAGGCUUAAAAUAUAUGUAGCUAGAAUAUCAAAGCUAUAUAAAUCCGCUGUGAUUAAUACUUUAAGUAGAGCUUCAUGAAUUCUCAUUAGUUCCGAGCAACGAACACAAGUUUGUCGCAGUAGAAGUUAUGGUCUUGUCAGCCAAACAGGUUCAAUAACAAUUUCAUCAUCUGGCUCAAGUGAAAGCAAGAACAAUUUCGUCAAUUAAAUUUCGCCAGCAGCAAAUACUUUAAUGCACCGUUUCUAUUUUAUUAUAUUAUUCGUUGUAAGCAAGACAUAAAGAAAUAUAAUUCUUGCUUUUUAUUUAACUACACUCAGUGCAUUUUCUUUCUUUAAGGGUACUUGCUUGAGUAUAUAUGUUAUACAAACGGACACCAGUUAGUCGCACGCUGCAUACUUUUAGGAUAUCUUUUUUGCUGAGCUGCUGAAGAUCGCCUGAUUUUGAUCGCCUUAGUAUAGUGUCUUGGAGACUUGCAGACUUGCAGACAUCUUUCGGUGAGUUCGUGUAACAGCGGUGAUUAAGUUAUUUCUGAUAAGUUAUAUUAUAUAUCUGAUAUUUCUGAUUAAGUUAUUUCCCAACAAUUCUGAUAGUUGUCGCUAGUCGUACCAAAAUUAAACUCUACAAGUCGCUUAUUCAUCCCCGUCCUGCUUUAUAGUGCAGAAUCUUGGACGAUGUCAACAUCAGAUGAGACGAUACUAGGAGUUUUCGAGAGGAAAAUUUUGCGCAAGAUUUAUGGUCCUCAGAACAUUGGCAACGGCGAAUAUGACAGACGAUGGAUCGAUGAACUGUACGAGUUAUACGACGAAAUUGACAUAGUUCAGCGAAUAAAGAGACAGCGGCUACGCUGGCUAGGUCAUGUUGUUCGAAUGGACAAAAGUGCUCCAGCUCUGAAAGUGUUCGAUGCAGUACCCGCCGGAGGAAGCCGAGGAAGGUGAUGACCACCACUCCGUUGGAGCGACCUAGUUACACUUGGGCUCUCAAAUGGCGCCGAACUGCGAGGGAAGAAGAGGAGUGGCGCGCUAUCAUCCAAUCACAUACGAUGUGCCGUCUUACAGCGAUUUACCAAAACCAUCGACACACUGGUUGACCGACAGAGCGUUAGGAAUCACGGACAAACAGUAUUCUGACCGGUAUAAAUCUUGUUUUAAGGGAAUGUGAUCCAUAGGAUGAUGAAAAUCCAGCGUUCUCCGAUAGAGCUAAUCGCCCAAGGGGAAAAAAUACAAAUGUUAAGGAGAAGCAGCACUAUGUUCAGUUUAGCUAACGUUCAAGCAAAUAGAAGUGUAGUCCUCCGCUGAAAUUUAUUAUUGCGAUUUGAACUUGGUUUCCCAUAAUUUGAAAAUGUUGUUGAAAGAAGAAGAAUUGUAUUAAAUAAGAAGCAAAUUACAAAUAAACCAUUUUUUGAUAGUAUACAUAAAGAUUUAUUUAGACAUAACUGGGAGCCCUUAAACAGCCCAGUCUGGAACGGAUCUUACAGAUACCUGGCGCCAUUCGUAAUAAGAUAGCCUUACUUAUUAUGGUUUCACAAAGCUCAAAGAGAAGACAUACAAAUCGGAUGCCGACAUUACCGACCACCUAACUUCAGUUUUUACAAAUAUAUCUUCAUCAUAGCAAACUACCUUCAGUAGCUCUUAUUAACCUUAUGACAACAGAUCAGCAUGAUUUUGUCUGAUAUUAAAUAUGUUUUUCUUUUAGUCAUCGCUUGUUAUUUUAAUUUGAUUUAAAUUUCUCAAAUUGUAAUUUAAAAGACGAGUCGCUUUUCUUGCGCUGGUCCCAAUUAAACUGCAAAGUGACAAAAAUUGAUUAACUAUUUAAAGUCUUCAAACAGGCGCAUUACAAUUUCGCUGAGUAUUCAUUAUUCAAAUAUUAUUAUUUUACUUUUCUAUUUUUUUAUUAUUAUUUCAUUUCAAAUAUCUUAACAAAAAAAACCUGAUCGAUUUCUUCAUUAAUCGAGUAUUCUGAGCACAACAAAGAUAUUUAAUGAAACAUUUUUUAGAAAUUCAAUUAAUGUCCCUUCAGACGUUCUGCAAGGCAGUCACCUUGGUCCGAUUCUGUUCUCGUUAUUUAUUAAUGAUUAGAUUUUCUAGAAUAAAUUACCAAAAAAAAGUUAUUCGUGGCGAGGUUACCAAUUAAAACUAAAAGUCACACUUUUAUAAACCAUCUUCGAAUGGCUAAUGGAUCAUUAUGAUAAGGUUUUCAAACCACAAAUAUUCCUGUGGUCCGGCACACACAUUAACGCGACAUACAUAUGUUUUCUAUAUAAAGUUCAGUCUAAGGUGUCAUCUUGGCAUAUUUUUGAUAUUUUUACCUUAUGAAUUUUCAUUCAAAUAGUCCAUGUGAGUUUGAUUGCUCCAUGUAAUUUAAUGGUAUUAUAGAAUAUUGAAAUUGAGGUUUUAUGCUAACAUUACAUAUAUAUAUAUAUAUUGACACUAACCUCACUAACCUGCUUCUUCUUAGUAUUUCAAUUAAAUUGUUGGAUCUUGGGCGAUUAUCUCUGUCGAAGGAUGCUUGAUCUUCAUAAUCAUGUGGAUCACAUUCCCUUGAAACAAAAUUCGUCCAGCUCAAAAUGCUGUUGUUCCAACAUAUUUUUGCUAUUUUUUAGCUUACGGUUAAUAUGGUAUAUACCACUUAAGCUGUAUCUUGUUGCUGCAUAACGCUGCUUCUCCGUAGCAUUUCGAUCAAAUUGUUGGACCUUGGACGAUUAUCUCUGUCGAAGGAUGGUCGAUCUUCAUAAUCCUGUGGAUCACAUUCCCCUGAAACAAAAUUCGUCCAGGUCAAAAUGCUGUUGUUCCAACAUAUUUUUGCUAUUUUUUAGCUUAUGGUUAAUAAGGUAUAUACCACUUAAUCUGUAGCUUGUUGCUGCAUAACGUUGCUUCUCCUUAGCAUUUCGAUCAAAUUGUUGGACCUUGGACGAUUAACUGUAACAGAGUAUACUCGGUCUUCAUCAUCUUGAUUAUCACAGUCCCCUGAAAUUUGUCCAGGUCAAAAUGCUGUUGUUCCAACAUAUUUUUGCUAUUUUUUAGCUUAUGGUUAAUAAGGUAUAUACCACUUAAUCUGUAGCUUGUUGCUGCAUAACGUUGCUUCUCCUUAGCAUUUCGAUCAAAUUGUUGGACCUUAGGCGAUUAUCUCUGUCGAAGGAUGGUCGAUCUUCAUAAUCCUGUGGAUCACAUUCCCCUGAAACAAAAUUCGUCCAGGUCAAAAUGCUGUUGUUCGCCUCUCCCAAAGCUCCGUCGGUCAACCUGUGUGCUGGUUGGUUCGGCAAAGCGCUGGGAGACAUCAAAAUACCUCUUUUUCAUCUUUAGUCCAAAUAAUGAUCCAUCAAUUAUUUGUGGAUUAUUCAGAGGUUCAACGCAACUUUCCACAGAAGUUGGACUUCUAGCGCUACACAUAUGCUGCCGCUCCACGGUGUAGGAUGACUGUUCAUAAUGGCAAAGCAAAAGUUGUUCUUCACUGCUGCUACUGGAAAACGACGAAAGUUGUCCCCACUCCUUAGUUUUUUCGAUUUCGCAAUCAUCAUAAAAUGUCCAAUGUCCAUUUUUUUCAUAGCAGUAACUGCUGCUAGUGAAGCUUUGUAAAGAAUUUAAAAAGUCAAAUAAAUUCUCCUUAGCAUCUAUCACUGUUUGCAUAAUAUGUUGGAUAUAUGGCUUUUCCAAAUUCCGUGGCGUUAAGUCAAGAUCGCAAUUAAUAUGGUCUACGGUUAAUAUGGUAUAACCCACUUCUGCUGUAGCUUGUUGCUGCAUAACGCUGCUUCUCCUUGGCAUUUCGAUCAAAUUGUUGGAUCUUAGGCGAUUAUCUCUGUCGAAGGAUGCUCGAUCUUCAUAAUCCUGUGGAUCACAUUCCCCUGAAACAAAAUUCGUCCAGGUCAAAAUGCUGUUGUUCCAACAUAUUUUUGCCAUUUUUUAGCUUAUGGUUAAUAAGGUAUAUACCACUUAAGCUGUAGCUUGUUGCUGCAUAACGUUGCUUCUCCUUAGCAUUUCGAUCAAAUUGUUGGACCUUGGACGAUUAACUGUAACAGAGUAUGCUCGGUCUUCAUCAUCUUGAUUAUCACAGUCCCCUGAAAUUUGUCCAGGUCAAAAUGCUGUUGUUCGCCUCUCCUAAAGCUCUGUCGGUCAACCAGUGUGCCGGUGGUUUCGGUAAAGCGCUGGGAGACAUCAAAAUACCUCUUUUUCGUCUUCAGUCCAAAUAAUGAUCCAUCAUUUAUUUGUGGAUUAUCCUGAGGUUCAACGCAACUUUCCACAGACGUUGGACUUCUAGCGCUACACAGAUGCUGCCGCUCCACGGUGUAGGAUGACUGUUCAUAAUGGCAAAGCAAAAGUUGUUCUUCACUGCUGCUACUGGAAAACGACGAAAGUUGUCUCCACUCCUGAGUUUUUACGAUUUCGCAAUCAUCAUAAAAUGUCCAAUGUCCAUUUUUUUCAUUGCAGUAACCGCUGCUAGUGAAGCUUAACUCAAAAGAGUAACAUCGGCGAUGUGGAAAAACUGGUAUCCUUUGUUGCGGCCCAAAGAAGUAACUACCAGUGCUACUAGAAGCUAGCGAUGACGAGCUUAAUGGUGGUGACGAUCAUCUAAGGAACCUUAAUUGUCUGAAAUGGUAAGUAGUCACAAUUAAAUUGAUUGAUGUUGUCCGUCUUUAGUCAACAUCUACUGCAAUUCGUAGUAGCUUUCUGAAUUGUGUGAUUUUGCUAUUUCGAAUUCACUUAAAUUCAAUGAACUUAAUGAAAACAUUAUAUAUCAAUUUUUAUGCGAAUUCCUCAAAAGUAGGCUAAUUGUUUCCGUUUUUUUUUUCAAAUAUAUUCGAUGUGAGUAGUUGCGCCCCUCACUUGGAUUACUAAGACGCAAGGAGGGUCGCAAACACUAACACCGUUCAUCGAUAUUAGUCUUCUGUUAAACACAUCCCAAAUUCUAUCAAUGCGGACUCGAGUUUCAGAAUCCUUCUACGGAUCCGCUUAUCAUAUUUCAUAUUAUUAAUCGACAGUCGCAGAUUGAACUUUCAGCAGCUUUUUCAAAUUCUGUGACAUUAAGUCCAGAUCGCAAUUGGUCUACGGUUAAUAUGGUAUAUACCACUUCUGCUGUAACUUGUUGCUGCAUAACGCUGCUUCUCCGUAGCAUUUCGAUCAAAUUGUUGGACCUUGGACGAUUAACUGUAACAGAGGAUACUCGGUCUUCAUCAUCUUGAUUAUCACAGUCCCCUGAAAUUUCAAUUUCCAGGUCAAAAUGCUGUUGUUCGAAAUGAAUAUAACUCUCACGAUCCUGCACCAGAUUGGGAUGUAUACUUUGCUGUAGUAGAGCUGGGAAGAUCACGUCCGCAUUGAAUUUCCUAAAAAUUCCCAUCGGUUUCCAGUCAGUGCGGUUAUGGGUUGUGGGUACAUAAAAUCAUCUCAAAAAUUUGACCUUUUUAGACCCAUUUGGGAUCAAGAUGGUCAUAGUGGUAUGGUAGGUUUAGUGAGCAACUGCUGUGGUAAGAAUCGAUGACGAACUGGAUUAAAGCAGUUACCCUACUUUCCACUGACCACUAAUAGGGCACUGUGUUGGUCCGUGUGUAGUUCAGUCCCCUCCUUGUCCUUUACUUGCACAGGGACCAGGUCCUGUUCCCAGAAUACCUUGCUGUUGUCGGCCUUGAACCGACAUCGCCUUUGAUCCUCAUCAUAUAUGCAGAGGACUGAGCUCUUCCACCCCUCGAAUUUAAGAGGAGCCUCCGUUAGCCAGGUGAUGGUCUCUUCAUUACUGCAGUCUCGAUCUGAAGUAGACACCCUUUCGCUACUUCCUUAUUUUGGUGGGCGGUGAGUACAUCCGGUCCCACACUUCGGCAGUAUAGUUAAGCGGCAGUAAAGCUAAGUGUAUGCUUUUAAGAGUAUCCUCAUACCUGUCGGCUAUCAUCUAAUCGAGUCGGAUUUUGGGUCUAAAAUUUUCCGCCCUACUAUUGAGUCAGGAUUGGCCUCCGCCGUUCGGAGUAUAGCAGCACCUACGGAAUCUUCUGGCUGAUGCUCCUCUUCGCAGCUCUAUCAGCUCUCUGCCUGUUCCCGUGCCAAUUCGGGUCAGAGGGACGUCUCUCCCGUGACGUGCGUCGAUCCCUGCCAAUAGGAAGCUUUUUGGCAUCUUCAGUUGACUUUCCAUGUUCGAGGUGUGUGAAGUACCACUUAAGGUGGCGCACACAUACCAACCCUUCCUGGGUCGCAGGGCCACCUGGGCAGGUACAUUUAAUUAAUUUUAAAUUUAUAAAUUUAUUUGAUAUUUUAUAUUUGCAAAAAUAGAUGACGCCAUGUUACUGUAUAGAAACCGCCUAAAUAUAUACAAAUUUGUUUGGGAACGUUUUAUAAUUGGAUGUCGCUACUGUCGGUGUAUCAAAUGUUCAAUCCAAUUAUAUAUUAAUUCCAGUUUGUCCCAACAGAUGGUGCUGAGGACAAAUGCAUUUUACAUAUGUACAUAUAUGUUCAUUAAAUAUUUUGUUGAAAUGUUAGGACAAUGACCCGACAACGCCGGACGGGUAUAUACAUACAUACAUAUAUCAAGAAACAGCUGACAUUGCUACAAGAAGCUAGCGAUGAUAAAUCACUUGUUCAAGUAGAGUUAGUUGUAGUAGUAGUUGCAAUUAUCUUGAUUCCAUCUUGUGCCAUCGUCUUCAUUUGAUCAUCUACUCCAAUGCUUAGUAAGGCUUCCAUGGAUAGAGAAAAAUCUUCUUCAAUAAACCCGCUAAAAUAAAGCUCAGAUAUAUCUAACUAUUCGACUUUUCAAAAAUCUCAAUCAACGAACACAAAUAUGCGAACUGAAGGCAGAAUACCGCCAUUUCAUCCGGACGAGUAAAUAAUCUCAUCUUCGCCGAUUUGUAGCUCGAAUGAUAACGAAAGCGAAUUUGUUUACCCCCGCCAACAAAAUCAUUUCCAACAACAACAACAUUUUGAGGCAUAUCAUAGAAGAAACUUCUUGCACAAUAUCAGAUUUAACAACGACACGUGGACACAUAACACACCUCAGCCUGGUAACGGCAGCACCUGUAAUGCACCGGCGACUUCAACUUUGCCGCAACCACCACAACAUUUGCUAUUUUGUAUCGCGGAAGCGGUUUUUGAAGAAGAUGGAAAUGAAGAGAAACAAGAGAUGGUAAAAAAGAAAAAUAUUUUCGGUUAUUAUAAUUUGAAGAGAAAAUUAGGUAGAUUCAAAAAAAAAGUUUUAAUUAAAAAAAAAAAAUUAUAAAACUAAUAUUUAAUCUUAUUUUCUACAGUCGGGAAAUAUGUUUUAUACAUUUGAAAUAGAUUUCCAAUGAUUCUGAAAUAUUGUAGUAUUUAAUGAAGUUGGUCAAAUUUUCUAUAAGAUGGCAACUUCGGUUAGAAUAAUAUUUUGUAUUUUAUAUAUUACAAAUACAAAUAAACUUUAUUAAUUAGACAAUUGGCAAUGCUUUCAAAGAUAUUUCCUCGAACUAUCACCAACUACAUCUGAUAGUUCGAUACAAGACCAAUUCUGACCAUAUUCUACAAAGAAGCUGAUGCAUGCACCUUAUCAGUUCUUCGCCGCCGUAUUUGAAUAGCUCGGCCGGCAAUCCAUCGGCCCGCCGCUUUGUUGUUCUUCAAGCGGGCAAUUGCUAUUCAAAUUUCGGGUAAUCUAUUCCAUCAUCAUCGAUUGGGGAAUCGGGUUCGCCUUCUCUUGGUGUUGUACUUUCACUGCCAUUCAGCAGGUCGGAUGUUCCCUCCAUAACCCCAGUAUGCUCUGGACAUCCGUUACCAGAUUACCUCAUCGGUCCCUACAUGAUAAUGCUCCGGUAUGGAAACCGCCUCAUCUUUUCAUAAAAUUUUCGAGCAUUACCCAUGUCAGCCAGCUUUUCAAGCUUUUCAUACUCACGCAUUUCGGCCUCUUUCUUUUUACGUCUGCAGUUACGUCUCGCUUCUCUCUUCAGCUCUCGGUAUCAAUCCCACCCGUGUCCUUUACCUGCACAGCUACCAGGUCCUGUUUUAAAAACUUUUAAAUACAAAAUAAAUGUAUCGCUAGAGAAGUCCCAGAUUACCUUUUUGUUGACCUGAUCAUAUAUUCCGUUGUUGAGCCUUAUACAUACCGGAGUCUUCAAUGUAGCUGCUUAGAGUUCGCCAGGAUGAGGUCUCUUCUCCUCUUGGUGGACUGAGCCCUUCCACCCCUCGAAUGUGAACUGUUAGGAAGACAUAUUGCCCGAGCACAAAUACGAGUCGCGGCAACAAAUGUCUUCGCAUAUGAACCUGCAUUUUAUAAAAUAAUGACGACCAAAGCACUCAAAAGUGACUAGAGCUUUCAUAUUAAAAAUGUGCUCUUAAUAAAUUCGAUUUAUUUUCCUGCAAUUGCAUAGGAAUUUUAAUUCGGUGGGAGAUUUUCUAAAAUUCUCGGCUGGCUUAAAUUUUAUUUAAUUCAAGACUUUUAUUAUUAACAAUUUCAUGUUUUCCUCCUCACACAGUGUUUUAAGUGACUGCCAAAACAUAUUUUCGUGCAAUUGAAAAAUGUUUAUUAUCAUUAUUGACCCCCUUUUUAAUAGAUAAUAGAUAUGGUAGUGUCCACAGCAAAUUUGCUUUUUAACUAAAUUAAUAAAAUAUGCGAAAUUAUUUUAGUGAAAUAUGUGCAUUAUUAUUAUAAUUUAAAGUGAUUUGCAAAUAGUUUGUGUUUGGUAUUAGUGCAACAAUCAUAACUUAAUUAGUAGUGAAAAUAAAUGCAGCAAAUUGAUAAUAAAGCCAAAUGACAACACAUCAUGCGCCAUCCACUUUCUGUUUUUAUCGACUCUCAAAAAUUUUGGCAGCCAAAAUUGUUUCCAUAACAGAAAUAAUUUAUGGAGAUUGCUACAAUUUAACAGUAAUUAAAAUUGACAUUAUUCUCGUGAUAGUGAUUUUUAGAUAUAUAAAGCGUUUAAUUAUACACUAAUAAUGAUAAAUAUUUGUUAAUUGAAUUAAAUGCGAGCAAAAAGAUUUUAUUUUGUAUAUUAACCAUGAUGUUAUUAUUCAGAUUAGGAAUAUUAUAGCAAUUUUUUGGGUGUUCUGGAUUCUUCGAACAUUUUUUAAAAUCUCAAUUUUAAUAAUUUUGCGCUGAUUAAUUACUUUAACGUCGACUCUCCUUUCCUUGCAAGGUACUAGCGGGUGAUCCAAGUAGAGGUACUUUUUAUACUCUCGCAACAAAAGUUGCUAAGAGAGUAUUAUAGUUUUGUUCAUAUAACGGUUGUUUGUAAGUCAUAAAACUAAACAAAUUAGAUAUAGGGUUAUAUAUAUCAAAAUGAUCAGGAUGACGAGACGUGUUGAAAUCUGUCCGUCCGUCCGUCUGUCCGUGCAACGGAUAACUUGAGUAAAAAUUGAGAUAUCUUAACGAAACUUAACUUAACUUGGAACACGUAUUCCUUGGCACCCUGAGGAGGUUGCUUUCGAAGAUGGGCAAAAUUGGACCAUUGCCACGCCCACAAAAUUGCGAAAACCGAAAACACAUAAAGUUUCAUAACUAAGCCAUAAAUAAAGUUAUAAAAGUAAAAUUUGGAACAAAAGAUUUCGCACCAGGAAGGGGCAUAUUUGUGUGUAAUUUUUUUGGGGAAGUGGGCGUAGCCCCGCUCCCAAAUCGGUUAUUUGUAUAUAUCUCGCAAACCAAUGAAGCUAUAUAAACCAAACGUUCAGCGGUCGGUUCUCUUACGUACCUCACCACACACCAUGAAAAUAGUUAAAAUCGGAUAAUAACCACGCCCACCUCCCAUAUAAAGGAUAGGUUGGAAAUUACUAAAACUGCGUUAACUCACUAACUCAGAAACACUAAAUUUUACAGAAGAAAUAGCACAAUGAAGCUGCACUCAGAUUUUUUUACAAAAUGAAAAAUAGGCGUGGCAUCGCACACUUAUGGGUCAAAAACCAUAUCUCAGGAACUACUCGACAGAUUUCAAUGAAAUUCGGUAUACAAUAUUUUCUUGACACCCUCAUGGGCGAAAUCGGUUCACAACCACGACUACUUUCCUUAUAACUCAAUUUUGAAUUCCAUCUGAUUACUUCACUUUAUAAUGUAUACAUAAGGAAGCAACGAAGAUAGCGGAAUAAAAGCUUACACAAAUAGUGCAUAUCAUCUCUGGCUUCACUUGUGAAAAAAUUGUCGAAAACGGACUAUAACUCUACAAGGCCCCAGAUAUCAAACAUGAUGAACUCUGCACCUAAGGGUAAAUUUUAACCGAACAUAUGGGUUAAUCUCUGAGAUUAUUGAAUGUAAUUUAAAUAUAAAAAUUAUUAAAAUCGGGUAAUAGCAUAUCCUAGCUCCCAUAUACCUAAUUAUAGGGUUUUCAAAAAUACGGUGGGCUUUAUUCCGCAUAUAUGUACGAGGGCUGCUAUGUAUAUUUCUGGCCUAAUAAUGAAAAUAGGAAUAUUUAUCAACGAAAAUGGUUUUAUUUUUUUCAAAAUAU